RNAcentral lists this ribosomal RNA (406 nucleotides) under Lactococcus lactis. Its description in RNAcentral is "bacterial SSU rRNA". It matches the Rfam family "Bacterial small subunit ribosomal RNA", at positions 28 to 421 of the family's 1533-position model. Lineage: Bacteria; Bacillati; Bacillota; Bacilli; Lactobacillales; Streptococcaceae. The record is from RNAcentral.
GACGAACGCUGGCGGCGUGCCUAAUACAUGCAAGUUGAGCGCUGAAGGUUGGUACUUGUACCAACUGGAUGAGCAGCGAACGGGUGAGUAACGCGUGGGGAAUCUGCCUUUGAGCGGGGGACAACAUUUGGAAACGAAUGCUAAUACCGCAUAAAAACUUUAAACACAAGUUUUAAGUUUGAAAGAUGCAAUUGCAUCACUCAAAGAUGAUCCCGCGUUGUAUUAGCUAGUUGGUGAGGUAAAGGCUCACCAAGGCGAUGAUACAUAGCCGACCUGAGAGGGUGAUCGGCCACAUUGGGACUGAGACACGGCCCAAACUCCUACGGGAGGCAGCAGUAGGGAAUCUUCGGCAAUGGACGAAAGUCUGACCGAGCAAACGCCCGCGUGAGUGAAGAAAGGCUUUCGG